UGAGUAUGUCUGGGAACUGCCUGAUGGAGGGGGAUAACUACUGGAAACGGUAGCUAAUACCGCAUAACGUCGCAAGACCAAAGAGGGGGACCUUCGGGCCUCUUGCCAUCGGAUGUGCCCAGAUGGGAUUAGCUAGUAGGUGGGGUAACGGCUCACCUAGGCGACGAUCCCUAGCUGGUCUGAGAGGAUGACCAGCCACACUGGAACUGAGACACGGUCCAGACUCCUACGGGAGGCAGCAGUGGGGAAUAUUGCACAAUGGGCGCAAGCCUGAUGCAGCCAUGCCGCGUGUAUGAAGAAGGCCUUCGGGUUGUAAAGUACUUUCAGCGGGGAGGAAGGGAGUAAAGUUAAUACCUUUGCUCAUUGACGUUACCCGCAGAAGAAGCACCGGCUAACUCCGUGCCAGCAGCCGCGGUAAUACGGAGGGUGCAAGCGUUAAUCGGAAUUACUGGGCGUAAAGCGCACGCAGGCGGUUUGUUAAGUCAGAUGUGAA
Molecule: ribosomal RNA, 493 nt
Filed under: Escherichia coli
Lineage: Bacteria; Pseudomonadati; Pseudomonadota; Gammaproteobacteria; Enterobacterales; Enterobacteriaceae
Description: bacterial SSU rRNA
Rfam family: Bacterial small subunit ribosomal RNA
Source: RNAcentral